Molecule: non-coding RNA, 119 nt
Organism: Pteropus alecto (black flying fox)
Lineage: Eukaryota; Metazoa; Chordata; Mammalia; Chiroptera; Pteropodidae
Source: Rfam
UCCUACGGCCACGCCACCCUAAACAAGCCCGACCUCAUUUGAUCUCGGAAGCUAAGCAGGGCCGGGCCUGGUUAGUACUUGGAUGGGAGACCACCUAGGAAGACCAGGUGCUGUAGGCG